This is a long non-coding RNA of Mastomys coucha (southern multimammate mouse), 1066 nucleotides long. RefSeq lists it as uncharacterized. The record is from RefSeq and is a predicted model, not a curated record. The transcript is spliced from 3 exons. NCBI's taxonomy places the organism in Eukaryota, Metazoa, Chordata, Mammalia, Rodentia, Muridae.
GCCCAGCGCGCGGCACCAUGGGAGUGCUCUACGGCGCAGCCGCCUUUAAACUCCGAUCUUGCGAGCGAAAAGUUUAAUGGGCAGGGACUGGAGGACUGCGUGCACUCCUGCAUUGUCUGGGAAACCAGGAACGAAUGAACCACGUGGAGAUCGCAAAGAAAACAGGAUUCACCCCUGCUUUCGGCUCCUCGGUGGGGGCGCGCUCAUGUAGUUCACCUGCGCCUCCUCCAGGGGCUUCUAUUAAGAUCUAACACCUUCCACCCGACCCGGCCUUCUAGAACUGAAACUCCAGGCCAAGAGGUAGCUUGAGAGUGCACCGCCUCCGCGGUCGACCGCCCUCUCUCCGGCUAGCAUAAAUAAACCCAAAAUUGAGCAAACACAGCAGGCAGAUGCAACUUCACAGCACAACGGACCGACCUCCUCUGUGGCACUAGCUGCUCCCAGCCCCUGAGAUGUAGCUCAACCCUUCGCCUGAACAACCCAGGGGGGCAGCAGCAUCUGCUGCACCUGGGAAUUCCUUAGGAAGGCAAAAGAGGGAAGUGGGUUCAAGAUUACAAGCAAGGCUAAAUCAGCAUCAGCUACUAACCCACUCCACUAACCCCAAAGAAACUUCCCAGGCUGACCUGCCCGUCAAACAAGACCUUCAGAUGAUUCCUAUGCACUGCGAUAUGUAAGAAACACCAGACGUCUGUCCCGCGAUGCAAGGCUCAUUUCUCCAUGGAGAAUCAGGAAGUAUACCUCAGACACCCAGAGCUGAUAUGGAUACAGCUGAAAAGAGACACGGUGUGUUGUCUGCAUGUACGACUGUAUACCCUGUGUACAGCUGGCUAUUCCCUAGCCCAGAAGAGCGAGCUGAAUCCCCUGGAACUGGAAUUACAAAAAGCUGAGCUACCGUAUGGGUUCCAGGAAUGAAACCAGGUCCUGUGGAAGAGCAUCCGUGCUCUUAAUCCCCGAGCCAGCAUUCUAGCCCCUAUAGCAACCUUCCCGAGGAGAACCCCUUCAAGGGUAUUUGGGCAAUCUUUCUACCAUACGUGGAUCUAAAGCUUUCUCAUCUAUCUCCACAAGU